UACGUAGGGUGCAAGCGUUGUCCGGAAUUAUUGGGCGUAAAGAGCUCGUAGGCGGUCUGUCGCGUCUGGUGUGAAAACUCAAGGCUUAACCUUGGGCCUGCAUCGGGUACGGGCAGACUAGAGUGCGGUAGGGGAGACUGGAAUUCCUGGUGUAGCGGUGAAAUGCGCAGAUAUCAGGAGGAACACCGGUGGCGAAGGCGGGUCUCUGGGCCGUAACUGACGCUGAGGAGCGAAAGCGUGGGGAGCGAACAGG
This 253-nucleotide ribosomal RNA is filed under the name uncultured bacterium. RNAcentral's name for it is "partial 16S ribosomal RNA". It matches the Rfam family "Bacterial small subunit ribosomal RNA", at positions 524 to 776 of the family's 1533-position model. The record is from RNAcentral.